RNAcentral lists this ribosomal RNA (253 nucleotides) under uncultured bacterium. Its description in RNAcentral is "partial 16S ribosomal RNA". It matches the Rfam family "Bacterial small subunit ribosomal RNA", at positions 524 to 776 of the family's 1533-position model. The record is from RNAcentral. RNAcentral also lists the same sequence under 1 other name.
UACAGAGGGUGCGAGCGUUAAUCGGAAUUACUGGGCGUAAAGGGUGCGUAGGUGGUUUUGUAAGUUAGAUGUGAAAUUCCUGGGCUUAACCUGGGGACUGCGUCUGAUACUGCGAAGCUAGAGUACUGUAGAGGGAAGUGGAAUUUCCGGUGUAGCAGUGAAAUGCGUAGAUAUCGGAAGGAACAUCAGUGGCGAAGGCGACUUCCUGGACAGAUACUGACACUGAGGCACGAAAGCGUGGGGAGCAAACAGG